GCUUGUCUCAAAGAUUAAGCCAUGCAUGUCUAAGUAUAAACACCUUUAUACUGUGAAACUGCGUACAGCUCAUUAAAUCAGUAAUAAUUUAUUUGAUGGUGACUUACUACAUGGAUAACCGUAGUAACCUAGAGCUAAUACAUGCACAAAAUCCCGACUUCACGGAAGGGAUGUAUUUAUUAGAUAAAAAACCAAUCCGGCAACGGUGCUUGGUGAUUCAUAAUAACCGAACGAAUCGUAUGGCAUCAGCUGGCGAUGAAUCAUUCAAGUUUCUGACCUAUCAGCUUCCGACGGUAGGGUAUUGGCCUACCGUGGCAAUGACGGGUAACGGAGAAUUAGGGUUCGAUUCCGGAGAGGGAGCCUGAGAAACGGCUACCACAUCUAAGGAAGGCAGCAGG
RNAcentral lists this ribosomal RNA (398 nucleotides) under uncultured Filosa. RNAcentral describes it as "partial small subunit ribosomal RNA". It matches the Rfam family "Eukaryotic small subunit ribosomal RNA", at positions 30 to 432 of the family's 1831-position model. The record is from RNAcentral. Lineage: Eukaryota; Cercozoa.